UGGGGAAUAUUGGACAAUGGGCGCAAGCCUGAUCCAGCCAUGCCGCGUGAGUGAUGAAGGCCCUAGGGUUGUAAAGCUCUUUCACCGGUGAAGAUAAUGAAGGUAACCGGAGAAGAAGCCCCGGCUAACUUCGUGCCAGCAGCCGCGGUAAUACGAAGGGUGCUAGCGUUGUUCGGAUUUACUGGGCGUAAAGCGCACGUAGGCGGACUUUUAAGUCAGGGGUGAAAUCCCGGGGCUCAACCCCGGAACUGCCUUUGAUACUGGAAGUCUUGAGUAUGGUAGAGGUGAGUGGAAUUCCGAGUGUAGAGGUGAAAUUCGUAGAUAUUCGGAGGAACACCAGUGGCGAAGGCGGCUCGCUGGACCAUUACUGACGCUGAGGUGCGAAAGCGUGGGGAGCAAACAGG
This 404-nucleotide ribosomal RNA is filed under the name Actinomycetes bacterium. RNAcentral's name for it is "Actinobacteria bacterium partial 16S ribosomal RNA". It matches the Rfam family "Bacterial small subunit ribosomal RNA", at positions 355 to 776 of the family's 1533-position model. The record is from RNAcentral. Lineage: Bacteria; Bacillati; Actinomycetota; Actinomycetes.